UACGUAGGGGGCAAGCGUUGUCCGGAAUCAUUGGGCGUAAAGAGCGCGUAGGCGGCCCUGUAAGUCCGCUGUGAAAGUCAAGGGCUCAACCCUUGAAUGCCGGUGGAUACUGCAGGGCUAGAGUCCGGAAGAGGCAGGGGGAAUUUCCGGUGGAGCGGUGAAAUGCGUAGAGAUCGGAAAGAACACCAACGGCGAAAGCACUCUGCUGGGCCGACACUGACACUGAGAGACGAAAGCUAGGGGAGCGAAUGGG
Molecule: ribosomal RNA, 253 nt
Filed under: uncultured bacterium
Lineage: Bacteria
Description: partial 16S ribosomal RNA
Rfam family: Bacterial small subunit ribosomal RNA
Source: RNAcentral